GAUGAAGAACGCAGCGAAAUGCGAUAAGUAAUGUGAAUUGCAGAAUCCAGUGAAUCAUCGAAUCUUUGAACGCACAUUGCGCCCCCUGGUAUUCCGGGGGGCAUGCCUGUUCGAGCGUCAUUUCACCACUCAAGCCUCGCUUGGUAUUGGGCAACGCGGUCCGCCGCGUGCCUCAAAUCGACCGGCUGGGUCUUCUGUCCCCUAAGCGUUGUGGAAACUAUUCGCUAAAGGGUGUUCGGGAGGCUACGCCGUAAAACAACCCCAUUUCUAAGGUUGACCUCGGAUCAGGUAGGGAUACCCGCUGAACUUAAGCAUAUCAAUAAGCGGAGGA
RNAcentral lists this unclassified non-coding RNA (331 nucleotides) under soil metagenome. RNAcentral's name for it is "partial contains 5.8S ribosomal RNA, internal transcribed spacer 2, and large subunit ribosomal RNA". The stretch from base 1 to 120 matches the Rfam family "5.8S ribosomal RNA", at positions 35 to 154 of the family's 154-position model. The record is from RNAcentral.